RNAcentral lists this long non-coding RNA (1613 nucleotides) under Homo sapiens (human). RNAcentral's name for it is "long non-coding RNA NONHSAT160798.1". Lineage: Eukaryota; Metazoa; Chordata; Mammalia; Primates; Hominidae. The record is from RNAcentral.
CAGACGCCAUGGAGUUGGUGCUGGUCUUCCUCUGCAGCCUGCUGGCCCCCAUGGUCCUGGCCAGUGCAGCUGAAAAGGAGAAGGAAAUGGACCCUUUUCAUUAUGAUUACCAGACCCUGAGGAUUGGGGGACUGGUGUUCGCUGUGGUCCUCUUCUCGGUUGGGAUCCUCCUUAUCCUAAGUCGCAGGUGCAAGUGCAGUUUCAAUCAGAAGCCCCGGGCCCCAGGAGAUGAGGAAGCCCAGGUGGAGAACCUCAUCACCGCCAAUGGUAACUAGCCCCAGAAAGCAGAGAACUGAAGUGCAGCCAUCAGGUGGAAGCCUCUGGAACCUGAGGCGGCUGCUUGAACCUUUGGAUGCAAAUGUCGAUGCUUAAGAAAACCGGCCACUUCAGCAACAGCCCUUUCCCCAGGAGAAGCCAAGAACUUGUGUGUCCCCCACCCUAUCCCCUCUAACACCAUUCCUCCACCUGAUGAUGCAACUAACACUUGCCUCCCCACUGCAGCCUGCGGUCCUGCCCACCUCCCGUGAUGUGUGUGUGUGUGUGUGUGUGUGUGACUGUGUGUGUUUGCUAACUGUGGUCUUUGUGGCUACUUGUUUGUGGAUGGUAUUGUGUUUGUUAGUGAACUGUGGACUCGCUUUCCCAGGCAGGGGCUGAGCCACAUGGCCAUCUGCUCCUCCCUGCCCCCGUGGCCCUCCAUCACCUUCUGCUCCUAGGAGGCUGCUUGUUGCCCGAGACCAGCCCCCUCCCCUGAUUUAGGGAUGCGUAGGGUAAGAGCACGGGCAGUGGUCUUCAGUCGUCUUGGGACCUGGGAAGGUUUGCAGCACUUUGUCAUCAUUCUUCAUGGACUCCUUUCACUCCUUUAACAAAAACCUUGCUUCCUUAUCCCACCUGAUCCCAGUCUGAAGGUCUCUUAGCAACUGGAGAUACAAAGCAAGGAGCUGGUGAGCCCAGCGUUGACGUCAGGCAGGCUAUGCCCUUCCGUGGUUAAUUUCUUCCCAGGGGCUUCCACGAGGAGUCCCCAUCUGCCCCGCCCCUUCACAGAGCGCCCGGGGAUUCCAGGCCCAGGGCUUCUACUCUGCCCCUGGGGAAUGUGUCCCCUGCAUAUCUUCUCAGCAAUAACUCCAUGGGCUCUGGGACCCUACCCCUUCCAACCUUCCCUGCUUCUGAGACUUCAAUCUACAGCCCAGCUCAUCCAGAUGCAGACUACAGUCCCUGCAAUUGGGUCUCUGGCAGGCAAUAGUUGAAGGACUCCUGUUCCGUUGGGGCCAGCACACCGGGAUGGAUGGAGGGAGAGCAGAGGCCUUUGCUUCUCUGCCUACGUCCCCUUAGAUGGGCAGCAGAGGCAACUCCCGCAUCCUUUGCUCUGCCUGUCAGUGGUCAGAGCGGUGAGCGAGGUGGGUUGGAGACUCAGCAGGCUCCGUGCAGCCCUUGGGAACAGUGAGAGGUUGAAGGUCAUAACGAGAGUGGGAACUCAACCCAGAUCCCGCCCCUCCUGUCCUCUGUGUUCCCGCGGAAACCAACCAAACCGUGCGCUGUGACCCAUUGCUGUUCUCUGUAUCGUGAUCUAUCCUCAACAACAACAGAAAAAAGGAAUAAAAUAUCCUUUGUUUCCU